GGCCUCCAUCUUGAAAACGGAAAAUAAAAACAGCAGACCUAUGAAGGUCGAAGGGGAAGAAAAGCUGUAUCGAUUGUUGAGAUCUGGCGACUUGUUUAAAUUUCAUCAGCCUCACUUCUAUGAACUCUCAGAGCUGAUUACCAACUCCUACCACUGUUAACCCUCAUCCAGGAACAAGCUUAUGUCUUUAACAUUCUGAGUGGGCUUCAGCAUCCUUGCAUAUGUUCAAUUCUUAAAAACCUGUUGAAAUAAAAGAUCAGGAGACAUAGGAAGGAUGCCAGAAGAGAGCGUGGCCUCACGUGUACCAGCUCUCUGCUCUCCUUUGCCUUGGGACGUUCCAUCCCUGGAAGUUUCCCUGCCCACAUCUUUGUAGAGAGUCCAUUCUCCAAGCUUCAGUGUGUCAUCUGUGAGGACCGUGACCCACCUGGUACAUCGCCUCAGGGCAUUCAUUUCAGGCUCCUUCUAAAUGGCCAAGUUUUCAAGAUUGUUUUGGCUCUAGCAAAACAAGUUGGAACAUUCACAUCAUCCAGUAAACCUCAGGUUCUCCUCCUGCCUUUUGCUAAGUAUAUGUCUUGAUGACAAGCCUUCUGCUGAUGAGCUGUGUUUCUGGACCGAUCAUGGUAGAAGUCAAUUAACGUGUCCCUCACUUGGGGUUUCUCAAGGCUGCACUGAUGAGGAAACUGAAACAGAAAAUCCAGAGUAAAUUCCACCAGGCCACACAGCAAGGUCUGAUAGAGCCAGGAGAGACUUUAUGAAAUCCAGACUCUCACACUAAUGCUCUAUCAGCUAGACCUCCAUGUGAGUCUCCCCAAUGUAGGUAGGAAGUGCUUUCCCUAAAAUGCUCAUAAAGCAAAUCAGAGCAAUGCUGCAUUCCAUGUGAUUUCUAAUUUGAAAUGCAAACAAUUGCCAAUUUGUUUGACUUGUAUUUAUAAUUAUUUCCUUGUGAAUUACUCAUCACUAAAUGCUUUAUAAAUAUUUUCUCUUUUUUUCCUCAAUGUCUAUGGAAUGAUCACAGCAUAGAAAAUGUUGGCUUUCAAGGAUUUAUUAAUAUCUCCUUUUGAAAUAACAUGUAUUUGUAAGACAGAAUAAAAUCACUUUAAAGAAACAAA
This is a long non-coding RNA of Homo sapiens (human), 1109 nucleotides long. Ensembl annotates it as testis expressed 41. Its record names the gene TEX41. Lineage: Eukaryota; Metazoa; Chordata; Mammalia; Primates; Hominidae. The record is from Ensembl.